Molecule: Y RNA, 88 nt
Filed under: Piliocolobus tephrosceles (Ugandan red Colobus)
Lineage: Eukaryota; Metazoa; Chordata; Mammalia; Primates; Cercopithecidae
Description: Y RNA (ENSPTEG00000035022.1)
Rfam family: Y RNA
About the family: Y RNAs are components of the Ro ribonucleoprotein particle (Ro RNP), in association with Ro60 and La proteins. The Y RNAs and Ro60 and La proteins are well conserved, but the function of the Ro RNP is not known.
Source: Rfam by way of RNAcentral
GGCUGGGCCCCGUGCAGUAGUGUUUAUAACCAGUUACAGAUUUCUUUGUUUCUUCUCCACUAUCACUGUGUCACUUGACUAGCCUUAA